Orcinus orca (killer whale) is the source of this 797-nucleotide long non-coding RNA. RefSeq lists it as uncharacterized. The transcript is spliced from 3 exons. The record is from RefSeq and is a predicted model, not a curated record. NCBI's taxonomy places the organism in Eukaryota, Metazoa, Chordata, Mammalia, Artiodactyla, Delphinidae.
GCGCAGCACACCUGGCGGGUACCGGGCCAGCCCUUGCUCAGAUUCAGGCUCGAGCCCGCCGGACCCAGACCGAGCGUCUCGUCCCACUCCCACGUGCGCCGGCCCGGAGAGAAGGAGGUGGGCGUGCGCUCGAGCUUUGUGGUCCUCACUGCCCCGACCUCCGGCCCUCUCCAUUCUCUGCUUCCGCUUCCGGGCCUGCAUCUUCUCCAAACUUCUCUGAACGCCGCGAACCCCCUUCCCAACACUUCGAAUGCAGGUCCCAAGGGCUGAUAAUAUAGUCAGGGUUUGACCUGUAGAGGGGUCCCCUUACAGGCACUGAGAGGGACAUGAGGACAUGAACGCUCCUGAUGUGAGCUCCAAUGAUGCUGACCUGCUAUGAGCUCUCAAACUGAAGGAAAAGUCUUGAUCCUCUUGGCCCAGAAGCAGGGGGCUGAUCACAAUGACCCCAGUUCCUCUGCUGCUGUAUUACAACCCAGCUGGAUGGAGCACUUCCCUUCCAGGGGAAGGUGGCUGAGGCAGAAGCAGGGUGUGAGAAACUACUGAUGCCAGCUGGCUCUUGUCCUCAGAAGUACUCUGAAAUUAGUUUACCUGCUUGUUUAACCAAAGAGAAUGUAAGUUCCUAGAGCAGGGGUUAACAAAUUUUUUUUCUGAAGAGCCAGCUAGUAAACAUUUUAGGCUUUCUCAGCCAUAUGGUCUCUGUUGCAACUACUCGACUCUGCUGUUGUAGUGUGAAAGCAGCCCUAGACCAUACGUAAACGGAGCGUGGCUGUGCUCCAAUAAAACUUUAUUUAUGGAUA